This is an RNA transcript of Perca flavescens (yellow perch), 1410 nucleotides long. RefSeq lists it as uncharacterized. The record is from RefSeq and is a predicted model, not a curated record. Lineage: Eukaryota; Metazoa; Chordata; Actinopteri; Perciformes; Percidae. The transcript is spliced from 4 exons.
AACUAGGGAACCAAUGUGCUGAGUUCUCCCGUUACGCGAUUGGUUCCGAGGUGGUCACGUGGUUUCGUGGACUCCAUGUUUGAUACCAACGUCCAUCUGAGUCCCAUUGACACAGAUAGUGCAGGGAAUAGUGGGACAUAAAUCACUGAAAAAAAAUGCCCUACUGUUGCGCGUUUGGCUGCAAAGAAAGACAGGGCAGGGGCAAAAGAUUUCACAAGUUCCCCCGUGAUCCAAAAAGGCGAAAAGUAUGGGAGCUGAAGGUGAAAAGAGCAAACUGGAGGGCAAAUGACUACUCAAUAUUGUGAGAGGACCACUUUGAGGAAGCAGCCUAUGAGACUGGCCGAGUUGAUGGCCUGAGGAGGCUCAGGUCGACUGCUGUCCCAACGCAGUUUGUCUUCACACCACGAAAGACCCCUGGCAGAACCACCAGGCGCAGUACGAGGACAGAAGAGGAACCGUGUGUUGGUGGACAGGAACGCGUACAAAUUGACCAUUCAUAUUGUUCUAAAUCCUGUCCCGCAUCCUUUGAAGUUCAAACAGCCUGUGAUUCCUGGAACCUGGCACCUGUACCGGAGUCCUACGAGCUCUGCUGCCAGAAUUCACCCCUGUGUCAGCAAAAUAUCCAGAGAUUUUCAAAUGCGUCAGGGAUAUUGCUGCCUUCCUCUCAGACAUCACUGGACAGGACAUCACUCGUGCAGAGUUGUGGGUCUCCUCCGCUGUUCACGCAGGUUCAGGGCCUCACCAAAAAUACCACAUCACAUGUAAGAGAUGCAGAAGCAGCUGUGAAUUUAAAGUCUUAAAGAAAAAAACUCUUAAACCAGUGUUUCUCAAAUAUUUCUCAAAUACCCCUAAGGGUACUUUGGAGUACUGUCCGGUGUGACAUUUUGUUUUUUAGGCCACAGGCAGGCAGGAUAUUCAACCUGCAACCACUGUACAUGGGGCGCACACUCUGCCGGGUGAGCUACCCAGGCACCCCCGGUAUGACAUAUUCUCAUGCAUAUAUUAAAUGAUUAUACUAUAAUGCAUUUAGUGAUGAUUCUAAACCUUUUGAAAUGUAGGUUGGCCUAGCAAGUGUUUUUCAGUGUCAAGUCGUUUUUAUUUCCAUAGCAAGUUUAAAAUGACAGAAGUUGACCCAAAGUGCUUUCUAGUCGAGGCAGAUGGUUUAAGAUCUGCCUUAAUACAGAUAAACAUCGUAGAGAUGACGAUACAAAAUGUAUUGCAAAUCAACUGUGCGACCAAAGUCAAUGGAUUAAAAGUCAAUAGAUUAAAAAGCAGCGUAGGGAAUUAGAAAUAAUACUCAAAUAGUCAAGAGAGGACUUAAGAAAAGCCGAGCAGCCACGAAAUAAACUAAAAGCGAGUGAAAAAGGCGGGGUCUUUGAUUUUGAUUUCAAACUUUCAAUUGUGGAACAA